CGAAAGCCUGACGGAGCAACGCCGCGUGUGGGAAGAAGGCCUUUGGGCUGUCAACCACUUUUCUCAGGGAAGAAGUUCUGACGGUACCUGAGGAAUCAGCCUCGGCUAACUCCGUGCCAGCAGCCGCGGUAAUACGGAGGAGGCAAGCGUUAUUCGGAAUUAUUGGGCGUAAAGCGUCCGCAGGGGGCUCAUCAAGUCUGCUGUCAAAGGUCGGAGCUCAACUCCGGUUCGGCAGUGGAAACUGGAUAGCUAGAGGUCGGUAGGGGCAAAGGGAAUUCCCAGUGUAGCGGUGAAAUGCGUAGAUAUUGGGAAGAACACCGGUGGCGAAAGCGCUCUACUGGGUCGCACCUGACCCUCAGGGACGAAAGCUAAGGUAGCG
RNAcentral lists this ribosomal RNA (379 nucleotides) under uncultured cyanobacterium. Its description in RNAcentral is "bacterial SSU rRNA". It matches the Rfam family "Bacterial small subunit ribosomal RNA", at positions 376 to 770 of the family's 1533-position model. The record is from RNAcentral. Lineage: Bacteria; Bacillati; Cyanobacteriota.